Long non-coding RNA from Oncorhynchus keta (chum salmon), 1009 nucleotides. RefSeq lists it as uncharacterized. The transcript has 5 exons. NCBI's taxonomy places the organism in Eukaryota, Metazoa, Chordata, Actinopteri, Salmoniformes, Salmonidae. The record is from RefSeq and is a predicted model, not a curated record.
CCUCAUUAUACCCUCCUGAACCACCCAGGUGAAUCAUCUUCCUCAUUAUACACUCCUGAACCACCCAGGUGAAUCAUCUUCCUCAUUACACACUCCUGAACCACCCAGGUGAAUCAUCUUCCUCAUUACACACUCCUGAACCACCCAGGUGAAUCAUCUUCCUCAUUAUACCCUCCUGAACCACCCAGGUGAAUCAUCUUCCUCAUUAUACACUCCUGAACCACCCAGGUGAAUCAUCCUCCUCAUUAUACACUCCUGAACCACCCAGGUGAAUCAUCUUCCUCAUUAUACACUCCUGAACCACCCAGGUGAAUCAUCUUCCUCAUUAUACACUCCUGAACCACCCAGGUGAAUCAUCUUCCUCAUUAUUCACUCCUGAACCACCCAGGUGAAUCAUCUUCCUCAUUAUUCACUCCUGAACCACCCAGGUGAAUCAUCUUCCUCAUUAUUCACUCCUGAACCACCCUGGUGAAUCAUCCUCCUCAUUAUACACUCCUGAACCACCCAGGUGAAUCAUCUUCCUCAUUAUUCACUCCUGAACCACCCAGGUGAAUCAUCUUCCUCAUUAUACACUCCUGAACCACCCAGGUGAAUCAUCUUCCUCAUUAUUCACUCCUGAACCACCCAGGUGAAUCAUCUUCCUCAUUAUUCACUCCUGAACCACCCAGGUGAAUCAUCUUCCUCAUUAUACACUCCUCAACACUCCUGAACCACCCAGGUGAAUCAUCUUCCUCACUAUACACUCCUGAACCACCCAGGUGAAUCAUCUUCCUCAUUAUUCACUCCUGAACCACCCAGGUGAAUCAUCUUCCUCAUUAUACACUCCUGAACCACCCAGGUGAAUCAUCUUCCUCAUUAUUCACUCCUGAACCACCCAGGUGAAUCAUCUUCCUCAUUAUUCACUCCUGAACCACCCAGGUGAAUCAUCUUCCUCAUUAUACACUCCUCAACACUCCUGAACCACCCAGGUGAAUCAUCUUCCUCAUUAUUCACUCCUGAACUACCCAGG